AGAGAUUUUAUUCUCUUUAUUCUUAAGGAGUAGUUUCUAGUUUUCAGGUCGGACUACUUUUCUUCAUCUCAAUGUUAUUCUUCACAAUAUUUUUAACCGAAUAUUUCUAAUUUUUUGAUGAUUUCUUAUGAAUGCAUUAGGGUUUGGUGAUUUUGAUGGAUUCUUAGCUAAUUCAAGUAAGGAGUGCUUGUCUCAUCUCAAAUGUCAAGCGUGAUAUUGUGCUGAGAGUGCUUGUGCAUUGGUCUCACCUUUUUCGGUUCUCAUUGUCAUUUGAUAUAGCUUGCUGCUUUGUCGAAUGAUUGUAGCUUAUAUGUAAGGGUUAAUUGCAUAUACUAUCUGUGGUAUCGUUUUUAAAUUGCAACCCCUGUAGUGUACACUGUUGCAGAUGUACCCUUGGGUUAAAAUUGUGACUGUUUUACCCUUGGACUUACUAAUUUCUAGCUGAAGUCAAACAAAAGGAUAUUGGAUUCGGUUUGAUGUUAUUUAGGCCUUCUCUGUUCUCUGAGCUUAUUGCCAGAAGUAGAAGGAAUUGUUUUUGUAUGUUGACAAAUGAUUCCUGUGAAGUUUCAUGAGGACAAAUGAUUCCUGUGAAGUUUCUUACUUUUGGUGUU
This is a long non-coding RNA of Asparagus officinalis (garden asparagus), 611 nucleotides long. RefSeq lists it as uncharacterized. NCBI's taxonomy places the organism in Eukaryota, Viridiplantae, Streptophyta, Magnoliopsida, Asparagales, Asparagaceae. The transcript is spliced from 2 exons. The record is from RefSeq and is a predicted model, not a curated record.